GACGAACGCUGGCGGCAUGCCUUACACAUGCAAGUCGAACGGACCUAGCAAUAGGUUAGUGGCGAACGGGUGAGUAAUACAUGAGCAACCUGCCUCAAACAGGGGGAGUAACACCGGGAACGUAGUGGCUAAUACCGCAUAAGACCACAGCGCGGCGAUCGCGCAGGGUAAAACGGAAUUCAGUGGUUUGAGAUGGACUCAUGUCCCAUUAGCUAGUUGGUGAGAUAACACGCCCACCAAGGCGACGAUGGGUAGCCGACCUGAGAGGGUGAUCGGCCACAUUGGGACUGAGACACGGCCCAGACUCCUACGGGAGGCAGCGAGUAGGGG
This 330-nucleotide ribosomal RNA is filed under the name uncultured bacterium. RNAcentral's name for it is "bacterial SSU rRNA". It matches the Rfam family "Bacterial small subunit ribosomal RNA", at positions 28 to 360 of the family's 1533-position model. The record is from RNAcentral.